RNAcentral lists this ribosomal RNA (617 nucleotides) under Bacillus sp. Mc1Re-3. Its description in RNAcentral is "bacterial SSU rRNA". It matches the Rfam family "Bacterial small subunit ribosomal RNA", at positions 117 to 719 of the family's 1533-position model. The record is from RNAcentral. Lineage: Bacteria; Bacillati; Bacillota; Bacilli; Caryophanales; Bacillaceae.
GUGGGUAACCUGCCUGUAAGACUGGGAUAACUCCGGGAAACCGGGGCUAAUACCGGAUGCUUGUUUGAACCGCAUGGUUCAAACAUAAAAGGUGGCUUCGGCUACCACUUACAGAUGGACCCGCGGCGCAUUAGCUAGUUGGUGAGGUAACGGCUCACCAAGGCAACGAUGCGUAGCCGACCUGAGAGGGUGAUCGGCCACACUGGGACUGAGACACGGCCCAGACUCCUACGGGAGGCAGCAGUAGGGAAUCUUCCGCAAUGGACGAAAGUCUGACGGAGCAACGCCGCGUGAGUGAUGAAGGUUUUCGGAUCGUAAAGCUCUGUUGUUAGGGAAGAACAAGUACCGUUCGAAUAGGGCGGUACCUUGACGGUACCUAACCAGAAAGCCACGGCUAACUACGUGCCAGCAGCCGCGGUAAUACGUAGGUGGCAAGCGUUGUCCGGAAUUAUUGGGCGUAAAGGGCUCGCAGGCGGUUUCUUAAGUCUGAUGUGAAAGCCCCCGGCUCAACCGGGGAGGGUCAUUGGAAACUGGGGAACUUGAGUGCAGAAGAGGAGAGUGGAAUUCCACGUGUAGCGGUGAAAUGCGUAGAGAUGUGGAGGAACACCAGUGGCGAA